AGGUUUUGCUCAUAGGUGGCAGUAGCUUCACCAUGCUGGGCCGGCCGCUACUGAGUAUGUCCCAGGUGCGGGUGGAGGCGACUGUCCUGGAGAAGACAAUUGGACAAACCGUCUUCUGGUUCCACUUCAA
Long non-coding RNA from Priapulus caudatus, 130 nucleotides. RefSeq lists it as uncharacterized. Lineage: Eukaryota; Metazoa; Priapulida; Priapulimorpha; Priapulimorphida; Priapulidae. The transcript is spliced from 2 exons. The record is from RefSeq and is a predicted model, not a curated record.